UGAGGGAUUUUCGGCAAUGGGCGAAAGCCUGACCGAGCGACGCCGCGUGAGCGAAGAAGGCCUUCGGGUCGUAAAGCUCUGUCUAGGGGGAAGAGGAAGGACGGUACCCCUGGAGGAAGCCACGGCUAACUACGUGCCAGCAGCCGCGGUAAUACGUAGGUGGCGAGCGUUGUCCGGAAUUACUGGGCGUAAAGGGCGCGCAGGCGGUCUGUUAAGUCCGGGGUGAAAUCCUUCGGCUCAACUGGAGGGGGACCUUGGAUACUGGCAGGCUGGAGUGCGGGAGAGUGAAGCGGAAUUCCACGUGUAACGGUGAGAUGUAUAGAUAUGUGGAGGGACACCGGUGGGGAAGGCGGCUUCCUGGACCGUAACUG
This 371-nucleotide ribosomal RNA is filed under the name uncultured bacterium. RNAcentral's name for it is "bacterial SSU rRNA". It matches the Rfam family "Bacterial small subunit ribosomal RNA", at positions 355 to 742 of the family's 1533-position model. The record is from RNAcentral.